GCUCAGUUGGUAGAGUACAAAGCUCUUAACCUUAUGGACGUGGGUUCAAGCCCCAU
Molecule: non-coding RNA, 56 nt
Organism: Triticum urartu
Lineage: Eukaryota; Viridiplantae; Streptophyta; Magnoliopsida; Poales; Poaceae
Source: Rfam